Molecule: ribosomal RNA, 492 nt
Filed under: uncultured bacterium
Lineage: Bacteria
Description: partial 16S ribosomal RNA
Rfam family: Bacterial small subunit ribosomal RNA
Source: RNAcentral
AGUGAACGCUGGCGGUAGGCCUAACACAUGCAAGUCGAACGGCAGCACAGUAAGAGCUUGCUCUUACGGGUGGCGAGUGGCGGACGGGUGAGGAAUACAUCGGAAUCUACUUUUUCGUGGGGGAUAACGUAGGGAAACUUACGCUAAUACCGCAUACGACCUACGGGUGAAAGCAGGGGAUCUUCGGACCUUGCGCGAUUGAAUGAGCCGAUGUCGGAUUAGCUAGUUGGCGGGGUAAAGGCCCACCAAGGCGACGAUCCGUAGCUAGUCUGAGAGGAUGAUCAGCCACACUGGAACUGAGACACGGUCCAGACUCUUACGGGAGGCAGCAGUGGGGAAUAUUGGACAAUGGGCGCAAGCCUGAUCCAGCCAUACCGCGUGGGUGAAGAAGGCCUUCGGGUUGUAAAGCCCUUUUGUUGGGAAAGAAAAGCAGCAGGUUAAUACCCCGCUGUUCUGACGGUACCCAAAGAAUAAGCACCGGCUAACUUCGUG